Vigna unguiculata (cowpea) is the source of this 295-nucleotide long non-coding RNA. Lineage: Eukaryota; Viridiplantae; Streptophyta; Magnoliopsida; Fabales; Fabaceae. The record is from RefSeq and is a predicted model, not a curated record.
CCUCUCACUCUUUGCUGGCACUUGAGAGCUCUGCUAGGGCAUUGUGAACCUCCCGCAUUGAGCUAUCUAAAACCGUUUAGCUCCCAACUCUACUAUGUUUCUGGAGCUGUGGUGUGCUGUGGUUGUGGACCCGUUACGUUUGCUAGCGUUUAACUUAAGAUAGAGGAAAGGUUGAAGGUAGACAUGAUGGUGGCGGCGAUGCUGUGUAAUUUCGAGGCUGUUAUAUGCGGCUCUUAGGAGUACUCUAGGAGCCUUUCUUUUGCAUAACUGUUCAACUUUUAGAUUCUGUUUUGGU